CCGGGCAGUCGCGGGUUUUCUUUUUCGGAAGAGGGCUCGAGGAAAGUCCGGACACUACAGAGCAGUGUGCCUUAUGAAAAUGAGGGACGGUGAUUCGGAAGGAUCGCCGGACAGAUAGUGCCGCAGAAAACAAACCGCCUUCUUCGGGAGGUAAGGGUGAAAAGGUGAGGUAAGAGCUCACCGCGCCGAGGGUGACCGAGGCGGCAGGGUAAACCUCUCACAGUGCAAGACAGAACAGGGGAAGAGCUGCUCGCUCGUUAAAUCCCCGGGUAAUAGUCGCAAAGAUAAAUGACUGCCAAGGCUGGUAAUUGGACCAGCUGAACAGAAUCCGGCUUACAGGG
RNAcentral lists this RNase P RNA (341 nucleotides) under marine eukaryotic metagenome. RNAcentral describes it as "Bacterial RNase P class A". It matches the Rfam family "Bacterial RNase P class A". Rfam says of the family: Ribonuclease P (RNase P) is a ubiquitous endoribonuclease, found in archaea, bacteria and eukarya as well as chloroplasts and mitochondria. Its best characterised activity is the generation of mature 5'-ends of tRNAs by cleaving the 5'-leader elements of precursor-tRNAs. Cellular RNase Ps are ribonucleoproteins. The record is from RNAcentral.